GUUCGGAUUGCAGUCUGCAACUCGAGUGCAUGAAGCUGGAAUCGCUAGUAAUCGCGAAUCAGAAUGUCGCGGUGAAUACGUUCCCGGGUCUUGUACACACCGCCCGUCACACCAUGGGAGCCGACAACGCCCGAAGUCAGUGACCUAACCGAGAGGGAGGAGCUGCCGAAGGCGGGGUUGGUAACUGGGGUGAAGUCGUAACAAGGUAGC
RNAcentral lists this ribosomal RNA (210 nucleotides) under uncultured bacterium. RNAcentral's name for it is "partial 16S ribosomal RNA". It matches the Rfam family "Bacterial small subunit ribosomal RNA", at positions 1291 to 1500 of the family's 1533-position model. The record is from RNAcentral.